This 29-nucleotide non-coding RNA is filed under the name Rattus norvegicus (Norway rat). Lineage: Eukaryota; Metazoa; Chordata; Mammalia; Rodentia; Muridae. The record is from RNAcentral.
UCCCUUUAAGUCGGAAUAAUAUUCUAUGG